Molecule: long non-coding RNA, 1897 nt
Organism: Bactrocera dorsalis (oriental fruit fly)
Lineage: Eukaryota; Metazoa; Arthropoda; Insecta; Diptera; Tephritidae
Exons: 2
Source: RefSeq, a predicted model, not a curated record
AUACAAAAACAUAUAUUCCAAAUGUACAAUUAAAAAAUGAAACUACUAUAAACAAUCCGGAAAAGAUAAUAUAAUUUCGUCGGAGCCUCAAACUAAAGGUGGGGGUGUUAUAAAGAAUAUGUAUUAAUUGAGUUUUCCAAAGAAUUGUUUGUCCAAGUGCAUUUUCGCUAACGAAAAUGCAACAGUUAAUAAAAUGUACCAUUAAUUCCACUAACGAAAAUGCAACAGUUAAACAAGACACAUUUCCUAAGAAUUUUUACGCAAGCAUUUAUUUUUAAGUUAUUGCAAGCAAGCAAAAUAUUAGUAUUUAAGAAAGCACAAAAUAAAACGGAAUGCUGAUUAUCGAGUAUAUCUUCAACCCAGUUGUUUAAUUUUUCGUUGUUCAUCACUUCGGUGAAAAAAGUCUACAGCUCUCGCAUGUGUUUGUUGUUUUUUUCUUUUUUGCUAUUUUCUGUCCUUUAUGUACAUAAAUAAAAAAAGUCAUAUUAGUUACACCACUUAUAACUCAGGAACAGCGGAACCGAUUUGGCUGAAAAUUGGUGGGGAGGUAGCUUAGAAGCAGGGUAAGGACAUAGGAUACUUUUUAUCUCUUUAUGUUAAAGUUCAAUACAACUAAUAAAUACAAAAAUUAUAUUUCAAAUCAUAAGCGUUGGUUCAAAAUUCAUGUAAGAAUCAUUUGAAAAUUUUAGUAAUUAAAAAAAAGAAAGAAAAAAGUAAAAAAUUUAGUAUAUGGGUUAAACUGAUUUUGUUUCUGAACGAAAAAAUUAAUUGGGUUGCGCGAAUUACUGAGAACGUGCCUGUGUAUAAGCGAAUUUAAAAGAUGCCGUUUAAGAAAACGUACGUUCGCGAUAAUGGUUUUAGUACAAUAGAAUUCUUUAUUACCAGAAUUUCAUGGUUUAGCCUAAAACUUAACCUAACAUCUUCAACUAGGGGUAAGUAUGUAUAUAAAAAAGGGAAAAGUAUAUGUAGUUAAAAUUAAUCUCGAAAAUUCAUAGUAAUUGGGUAUUGUAAUAUAUUUGUAAUAAUAUGAAAAUAGUAAAUAUUUUACAUAAUAUAAAAAACAUUUUACACAUAAUUUAUUCAAUUAUUAUCUAAUUCACUUUAUUAAUUUAUUUCUUAAAAUAUUUGAUUUUAGAUUUAUAAAGUCACUUGACGCAACAAGUGCCAAAAUAAUUUGCAUUCAAAUAUUAAGACAGAAAAUAGCAAAAAAGAAAAAACAACAAACACAUGCGGAGCGGUAGCAAAUAAAAACUUUUAUUAGCUCUGCUCUACUACCGCUCCCAAUUUUUUGCUACCGCUACGCCGCAGAGCACAGCAAUUCACUUUUUUUCUCUCGCUUCAACUGUAGUUUUUUACCUAACAAAACUCGGAGAAGAGCAGAGCACAUACUUUAAUGAUACAUAUUAUGCUACGGCUCUGCUGUGGCUCCCAACAAAGAGAGGUCGGUAGCGAUAGCGAUAGCAAAAUGAAAUGCUACGGGAGUAGCGUAGUUUUUCAAACGCUGGAUAUGACAGAUUGAAAUGAAACUUCACAUACGUUCAUAUGAAGAGUGAGGCAACAAAACAAGAAAUGUUGGGCUAGUAGCAACGAUCUAAGAAGUAGUAAUAAGAAGGACUGCAUACAACAAUUGAGAAAAGAAAUAUUUGAAGAUAUAAAUAAAACAUAUAGCACAGAAUUACAAUUAGCCACAAAACAAAUCAGUUGUUGUCUUUAGUUAACCAUUAAUAAGCUAUUUUAGUUUGAAUUUUCGUAUUUUUUUUUUUGCUUGAAAAGAAGAAUUAUAGGUCUUUAUUACAUAUUCAUAUUUUAGUUGCACAACUGAAAAUUAAGAGAAAAACAACACUUGUUUUAUUCCUUAAGUAUUAUCCAAUCAAAUUUAUAUAUGACAGUUAAGUUU